RNAcentral lists this ribosomal RNA (492 nucleotides) under uncultured bacterium. RNAcentral describes it as "partial 16S ribosomal RNA". It matches the Rfam family "Bacterial small subunit ribosomal RNA", at positions 29 to 507 of the family's 1533-position model. The record is from RNAcentral.
AGUGAACGCUGGCGGUAGGCCUAACACAUGCAAGUCGAACGGCAGCACAGUAAGAGCUUGCUCUUACGGGUGGCGAGUGGCGGACGGGUGAGGAAUACAUCGGAAUCUACUUUUUCGUGGGGGAUAACGUAGGGAAACUUACGCUAAUACCGCAUACGACCUACGGGUGAAAGCAGGGGAUCUUCGGACCUUUCGCGAUUGAAUGAGCCGAUGUCGGAUUAGCUAGUUGGCGGGGUAACGUCCCACCAAGGCGACGAUCCGUAGCUGGUCUGAGAGGAUGAUCAGCCACACUGGAACUGAGACACGGUCCAGACUCCUACGGGAGGCAGCAGUGGGGAAUAUUGGACAAUGGGCGCAAGCCUGAUCCAGCCAUACCGCGUGGGUGAAGAAGGCCUUCGGGUUGUAAAGCCCUUUUGUUGGGAAAGAAAAGCAGCAGGUUAAUACCCCGCUGUUCUGACGGUACCCAAAGAAUAAGCACCGGCUAACUUCGUG